This 66-nucleotide transfer RNA is filed under the name Lepidostoma inops. RNAcentral describes it as "tRNA-Arg". Lineage: Eukaryota; Metazoa; Arthropoda; Insecta; Trichoptera; Lepidostomatidae. The record is from RNAcentral.
AAAUAAGAAGCUAAAAAGCAAUUAAUUUCGGCUUAAUAAUUGGGUGAAAUAACCGCCCCUUAUUUU